Molecule: ribosomal RNA, 498 nt
Filed under: uncultured bacterium
Lineage: Bacteria
Description: partial 16S ribosomal RNA
Rfam family: Bacterial small subunit ribosomal RNA
Source: RNAcentral
AUUGAACGCUGGCGGCAUGCUUUACACAUGCAAGUCGAACGGUAACAGGCCGCAAGGUGCUGACGAGUGGCGAACGGGUGAGUAAUGCAUCGGAACGUGCCCAGUCGUGGGGGAUAACGCAGCGAAAGCUGUGCUAAUACCGCAUACGAUCUAUGGAUGAAAGCGGGGGGCCGUAAGGCCUCGCGCGAUUGGAGCGGCCGAUGUCAGAUUAGGUAGUUGGUGGGGUAAAGGCUCACCAAGCCAACGAUCUGUAGCUGGUCUGAGAGGACGACCAGCCACACUGGGACUGAGACACGGCCCAGACUCCUACGGGAGGCAGCAAUGGGGAAUUUUGGACAAUGGGCGCAAGCCUGAUCCAGCAAUGCCGCGUGCAGGAAGAAGGCCUUCGGGUUGUAAACUGCUUUUGUACGGAACGAAAAGGUUUGGGUUAAUACCCUGGGCCGAUGACAGUACCGUAAGAAUAAGCACCGGCUAACUACGUGCCAGCAGCCGCCGCCG